This 43-nucleotide ribosomal RNA is filed under the name Babesia microti. RNAcentral's name for it is "partial 5.8S ribosomal RNA". The record is from RNAcentral. Lineage: Eukaryota; Apicomplexa; Aconoidasida; Piroplasmida; Babesiidae.
AAAUUUUCAGCGGUGGAUGUCUCGGCUCACACAACGAUGAAGG